GUUUGUUCUGAGAUAACUGAUAAUCUAUGAGGCAAAUAAGCCUGUCUACAUGUUGCUACAUUUUUGGUUACUCUUACUGGACUGAUUAUGCUUUUCUUCAUUGCUUAUCUGGCUAGAGCUAGAGUUUUAAAAUUGAUUUUCUCUGCUAUUAUAUAGUGACACUUUAAUUGGAUAUGUUUUUUAUAAUAUGUAGCAUGAUGAAAGAAAAAGGAAUCUGAAAUUAUUGUAGAGGGUAAUGUUUAAAUCUACUUAAGGAGCACAUAUUGAUAAUAUAUUUGGUAUUCCCUUAUUUUGAUUGUGUAGUAUGCAUUAUAUUCCUCAUUGAUGUUUACA
Molecule: unclassified non-coding RNA, 333 nt
Filed under: Hevea brasiliensis (rubber tree)
Lineage: Eukaryota; Viridiplantae; Streptophyta; Magnoliopsida; Malpighiales; Euphorbiaceae
Source: RNAcentral